This 436-nucleotide ribosomal RNA is filed under the name uncultured bacterium. RNAcentral's name for it is "SSU rRNA". It matches the Rfam family "Bacterial small subunit ribosomal RNA", at positions 26 to 520 of the family's 1533-position model. The record is from RNAcentral.
AGAAUGAACGCUAGCGAUAUGCUUAACACAUGCAAGUUGAACGUUGUUUUCGAAUAAAAAUGAAAACAAAGUGGCGAACGGGUGCGUAACACGUAGGAAUCUGCCAAACAGUUUGGGCCAAAUCCUGAAUGAAUAAAAAGCUAAAAAAGCGCUGUUUGAUGAGCCCACGUAGUAUUAGGUAGUUGGUUAGGUAAAAGCUGACCAAGCCUACGAUGCUUAGCUGGUCUUUUCGGAUGAUCAGCCACACUGGGACUGAAACACGGUCCAGACUCCUACGGGAGGCAGCAGUGGAGAAUUUUGCGCAAUGGGGGAAACCCUGACGCAGCAACGCCGCGUGGAGGAUGAAGCCCCUUGGGGCGUAAACUCCUUUCGAUCGGGAAGAUAAUGACGGUACCGAGAGAAGAAGCCCCGGCUAACUUCGUGCCAGCAGCCGCGA